GACGAACGCUGGCGGCGUGCCUAAUACAUGCAAGUUGAGCGCUGAAGGUUGGUACUUGUACCAACUGGAUGAGCAGCGAACGGGUGAGUAACGCGUGGGGAAUCUGCCUUUGAGCGGGGGACAACAUUUGGAAACGAAUCUAAUACCGCAUAAAAACUUUAAACACAAGUUUUAAGUUUGAAAGAUGCAAUUGCAUCACUCAAAGAUGAUCCCGCGUUGUAUUAGCUAGUUGGUGAGGUAAAGGCUCACCAAGGCGAUGAUACAUAGCCGACCUGAGAGGGUGAUCGGCCACAUUGGGACUGAGACACGGCCCAAACUCCUACGGGAGGCAGCAGUAGGGAAUCUUCGGCAAUAGACGAAAGUCUGACCGAGCAACGCCGCGUGAGUGAAGAAGGUUUUCGGAUCGUAAAACUCUGUUGGUAGAGAAGAACGUUGGUGAGAGUGGAAAGCUCAUCAAGUGACGGUAACUACCCAGAAAGGGACGGCUAACUACGUG
This 496-nucleotide ribosomal RNA is filed under the name uncultured bacterium. RNAcentral describes it as "partial 16S ribosomal RNA". It matches the Rfam family "Bacterial small subunit ribosomal RNA", at positions 28 to 507 of the family's 1533-position model. The record is from RNAcentral.